RNAcentral lists this long non-coding RNA (865 nucleotides) under Mytilus galloprovincialis (Mediterranean mussel). The record is from RNAcentral. Lineage: Eukaryota; Metazoa; Mollusca; Bivalvia; Mytilida; Mytilidae.
GUCAUGUGGCCUAGCGGACCAAUAUCGUCUGUGACGUCAAUAUAUCGUCUGCAUUGGCGUUCAGAGAUUUCAGAAGAAAAGGCAGACAUUUUUCGUCAGAGUAAAUUCUGGGUUUUGUAUUAAUAUAUUUCUAUGUAAUGUAAGAAAAACCCACCCUCCCACCUCUUGAUUUCAAAACGUGUAUUUUGGCGAUAUACUGCUGCUGUUUUGGUUUAUUUUUCAGGUUUUAUGGACAUAUUUUAUUUCCUUGCACCCGAUGUUGUAUGAUGAUUCGUCAUGGCUCACCAAGUGUAGAAAUUCCAAGAUGACUCAAGAUGAGAUUUUAUUCGCUAUAUUCCGUUCAACUUUUGAUCGUGAUUCUAUAAUUGAACUUUGUACACCUUAACUAAUGGACAACUGUUGAAAUAUUUUGACACAGAAGCGUUGGAUUAACGAACUUUUCAUUCUAUUAAUUUUCAACUAAUUUCUUGAAGGACUAUCUGAAGAAAUUUGGCGGGAAAGCGACACAACGCCAAACAUCUUGCUUCAUGUUCACAUAAUGGACUCUAAUAUCCGUUACUGAGCUUCUGUUCCCAGGGCCAGUAUUUUUAAAGUCAAUGUCAGUAUUGGACAGUAAUGAUAAAGUGCUCUUUUUGUACAGAUGGUUCUAAUUGAUCAUUCUUGAUCCAUGCUAAUGUUAUAAUUGAUCAAUCGUGAUCCAUGCUAAAGUUUUUAAUUGAUCAAUCGUGAUCCAUUCUUAUAUUAUAACUGAUCAACAGUGAUCCACGCUAAUGUGUUAAUUUUGAUCAUUUGUGACUCAUGAUCAUGCUAAUGUUUCAUCUUUAUUGAUGAUAAAUUAAUGUUUGAUUAAUUUGUGAGCCGUGGC